UAACACCUGGCAGGUGACAUACCAUGAUCACGAAGGUGGUUUUCCCAGGGCAAGGCUUAUCUAUUGCACUCUUGAUGUGCUGACCCCUGCAAUAUCCCCAGAUGUGGGAAACUUGACUGCAUAAUUUGUGGUAGUAGGGGACUGUGUUUACUGUUUCCCCUG
Otolemur garnettii (small-eared galago) is the source of this 162-nucleotide small nuclear RNA. Its record names the gene U1. It matches the Rfam family "U1 spliceosomal RNA". Rfam says of the family: U1 is a small nuclear RNA (snRNA) component of the spliceosome (involved in pre-mRNA splicing). Its 5' end forms complementary base pairs with the 5' splice junction, thus defining the 5' donor site of an intron. The record is from Ensembl. NCBI's taxonomy places the organism in Eukaryota, Metazoa, Chordata, Mammalia, Primates, Galagidae.